This 549-nucleotide ribosomal RNA is filed under the name Triticum aestivum (bread wheat). RNAcentral describes it as "partial small subunit ribosomal RNA". Lineage: Eukaryota; Viridiplantae; Streptophyta; Magnoliopsida; Poales; Poaceae. The record is from RNAcentral.
AUGGCGACACCGGAUCUGGCAUCUCCGGGGUCCUCUACAAGUGGGUCAACUACGGCCGCGGGUGGCGGCCCCACUGGUUCGCGCUCAGCGACGGCGUGCUCUCCUACUACAAGAUCCACGGGCCCGACCGCAUCGACCUCUCCCGCGACACCGACCGCGGCACCAAGGUCAUCGGCGAGGACUCGCUCCGCCGCCUCGCGCGCCCCUCCUCCGCAUCCGCCCCCACUCCAACGGCCACGGCCACCACCAGACGCCCCGCAAGCCCCUCGGCGAAAUCCACCUCAAGGUGUCGACCGUCAGAGAGAGCAGAUCGGACGACAUGAGGUUCUCCAUCUUCUCGGGGACCAAGAGGCUGCACCUGCGGGCCGAGACGAGGGAGGACAGGGCCGCGUGGCUCGAGGCGCUCCGUGCCACCAACGAGAUGUUCCCGAGGAUGUCCACCAGCGAGAUGGUCGGGCCGGGGGACACUGCGGCGGCCGCGGCGGUCUCCACCGAGCGCCUGAAGAAGCGCCUGCAGCAGGAAGGGGUCAGCGAUGCUGCCAUUGCUGA